GACGAACGCUGGCGGCGUGCUUAACACAUGCAAGUCGAACGCUGAAGCUUGGUGCUUGCACUGGGUGGAUGAGCGGCGAACGGGUGAGUAAUACGUGAGUAACCUGCCCUUGACUCUGGGAUAAGCCCGGAAAACUGGGUCUAAUACUGGAUAAUACAUGCCACUGCAUGGUGGUGUGUGGAAAGGGUUUUCGUGGGUUUGGAUGGGCUGAGGGCCAAUGAGCUUGUUGGUGGGGUAAUGGCCGACCAAGGCGACGACGGGUAGCCGGCCUGAGAGGGUGGCCGGCGACACGGGGACUGAGAGAGGGAGCAGACUGCUAUGGGAGGCAACGGUGGGGAAUAUGGCACAGUGGGCGGAAGCGGGUGACAGCGACGCCGGGUGAGGGAUGACGGCUUUCGGGGUGAGAACCUCUGUCGGCACGGAAGAAGCGAGAGUGACGGUACCUGAAGAAGAAGCGCCGGCUAACUACGUG
RNAcentral lists this ribosomal RNA (472 nucleotides) under uncultured bacterium. Its description in RNAcentral is "partial 16S ribosomal RNA". It matches the Rfam family "Bacterial small subunit ribosomal RNA", at positions 28 to 507 of the family's 1533-position model. The record is from RNAcentral.